CUACGUGCCAGCAGCCGCGGUAAUACGUAGGUCCCGAGCGUUGUCCGGAUUUAUUGGGCGUAAAGCGAGCGCAGGCGGUUAGAUAAGUCUGAAGUUAAAGGCUGUGGCUUAACCAUAGUACGCUUUGGAAACUGUUUAACUUGAGUGCAAGAGGGGAGAGUGGAAUUCCAUGUGUAGCGGUGAAAUGCGUAGAUAUAUGGAGGAACACCGGUGGCGAAAGCGGCUCUCUGGCUUGUAACUGACGCUGAGGCUCGAAAGCGUGGGGAGCAAACAGGAUUAGAUACCCUGGUAGUCCACGCCGUAAACGAUGAGUGCUAGGUGUUAGACCCUUUCCGGGGUUUAGUGCCGCAGCUAACGCAUUAAGCACUCCGCCUGGGGAGUACGACCGCAAGGUUGAAACUCAAAGGAAUUGACGGGGGCCCGCACAAGCGGUGGAGUAUGUGGUUUAAUUCGAUGCAACGCGAAGAACCUUACCUACUCUUGACAUCCAGAGAACAUUC
Molecule: ribosomal RNA, 500 nt
Filed under: uncultured bacterium
Lineage: Bacteria
Description: bacterial SSU rRNA
Rfam family: Bacterial small subunit ribosomal RNA
Source: RNAcentral